This is a long non-coding RNA of Daucus carota subsp. sativus, 1803 nucleotides long. RefSeq lists it as uncharacterized. The record is from RefSeq and is a predicted model, not a curated record. Lineage: Eukaryota; Viridiplantae; Streptophyta; Magnoliopsida; Apiales; Apiaceae. The transcript has 2 exons.
CAGUAAACAUGUGACGAUUGAAAUCAGAGAUAAGCAGUUAGAUGUGGAAAGAGGAGCAUGAAAAAAUCAAACCCGCCUUUAUGUACACAAAAUACAGAUUAGAGAGCAAAAAUAUUUUUCUCGUCGAAGGAAAGCAACAACAAGUGGAAUUAAUGUGUAUACCUUUUGAUAUUUUGUAGCUGGACGAACAUCAAGAAGCGUUGUGUUGGAAAGUUGAACUGCAUAGCCAGCUUCCUUUCCUUUGGAGUAAGAGGCUUCACUUUCCCCUCCCUGACCUAUAAUUAUGGAAUUUAGUCAUCGGAAUGGAACACGUAUAUCUAUAUAGAACAACUCUCUCAAUAACUUAUCGAAGAACUCUCUCAAUACCUUAACAUGUUAAAAGGCCUUUAUAUGCAUCUUAUCCUUCUAAGUCGUAACACACCUCCUCACUCGUACAAGUAGACCACAUACAAUUCCAGUAGAAUUAUAGCACAUAACCUUUAGACAUGUGGUGGACUUUUAUUGGUUCUCAUUCAUUAAUAAUGGUGGCCCCCCGCAUGCACAAAAAUCAUCACCAAUCAAAAUCUCUCCUCUACAUUAAAAUUAGUUCUUAGCAUAUGCCCAUGAGUAGGGGUGUUCAUGGGUCGGGUUGACCGGGUUGGAGGCAUUUUUAUAACCCGACCCAAUUAAAUCGGUUUGAGAAUUUUGAACCUAACCCAUAAAAUAUAAAUUCGUAACCCAACCCUACCCGUCAUAUAUCGGUUUGGGUCGGGUUGGGUUGGUUUAAAUGGGUUAAAUGACUUUAAGAAAGAAAAAUUCAUACUACGUAUCAUCGCUCAUAUCGAAUAAUUUAAAAAACUAUAAUACGUAUAACUUACAAUUAUAUUACUAAUAUUUAAAUUGAUUAACGUUAAUUUUUUAGGGAUUCAUAAAAUAUCGUAAAUAAUAUGUAAAUACAUAAAAUAUAACCCUACAUAUAUCAAUAGAAGUAUGUUAUAUUGUAUUUUGUAUAAUUGUAUAUAAUAUAUAAAUAUAAAUAUAUAUUUAAAUUAUCGAACAAAACUCGUAAAUUAAUCGGGUUGGGUUGGGUUGACCCGAAAAAUGUAGAAUUUAUACCCAACCCAUUUAGUUCGGUUUGAAAUUGUUUUAAUCCAAUUAAGUGUCGGGUUUUUUGUAUCGGUUUGAUAGGCCGAAAAGAGGGGCGGGUUGGGUCGGUUUAGUCGGGUUGACCCUUUUGGUUUUCUGUUACUAUUGAGUUUCUGUAAUUUCUCUCUUAUCUCUCCCAGUCUCUCUCUUAUAAAAACCAGGUUUAAAACAGCCCUUUUGCGUUACUAUUCAGCUUCUGUAGUUUCUCUCUCAUCUCUCCCAAUCUCUCUCAGUCUCUCCCGGCCUCUCUCUGCAAACUCAACUCAGUAGUAUAAUAAGGCCAUGCUGACUCGCCUGAUGUUGCAUCCUUAGGCCAAGUAAAAGCAGGGGAAGUAUUCAUAAAGCAAUAGCUUGUGCUGUUCUUCGUAUUACAGAAGAGUAGUAGUGCCUUCUAGGAAUUUGCUAUAUGCAGUGGACUGGACAUGCUGGAAAUAUAUUAUCUCAAAUAGAGUACUCAUCCGCCCGUGAAACAUGUACUUGGGUUUGUCAUGUCAUCUGGAUCUGUAAAUUAGUCUUCUACAGUUAGCAAAGUGGCAAGACCAAAGGGAACUAUAAUUAUAAACCAUCUUACUUGUAAAUGUUUAUUUCUGCUUAAUUGUCAAAUCUGCACACAAGAUCUGUACUUUUUGUAUGUAUUCCAUGCAUAUUAAUGAUCAAGUAAGUUAGAAUGUUUUAACA